GACGAACGCUGGCGGCGUGCCUAAUACAUGCAAGUUGAGCGCUGAAGGUUGGUACUUGUACCAACUGGAUGAGCAGCGAACGGGUGAGUAACGCGUGGGGAAUCUGCCUUUGAGCGGGGGACAACAUUUGGAAACGAAUGCUAAUACCGCAUAAAAACUUUAAACACAAGUUUUAAGUUUGAAAGAUGCAAUUGCAUCACUCAAAGAUGAUCCCGCGUUGUAUUAGCUAGUUGGUGAGGUAAAGGCUCACCAAGGCGAUGAUUCAUAGCCGACCUGAGAGGGUGAUCGGCCACAUUGGGACUGAGACACGGCCCAAACUCCUGCGGGAGGCAGCAGUAGGGAAUCUUCGGCAAUGGACGAAAGUCUGACCGAGCAACGCCGCGUGAGUGAAGAAGGUUUUCGGAUCGUAAAACUCUGUUGGUAGAGAAGAACGUUGGUGAGAGUGGAAAGCUCAUCAAGUGACGGUAACUACCCAGAAAGGGACGGCUAACUACGUG
This 497-nucleotide ribosomal RNA is filed under the name uncultured bacterium. RNAcentral's name for it is "partial 16S ribosomal RNA". It matches the Rfam family "Bacterial small subunit ribosomal RNA", at positions 28 to 507 of the family's 1533-position model. The record is from RNAcentral.